Molecule: long non-coding RNA, 1062 nt
Filed under: Zalophus californianus (California sea lion)
Lineage: Eukaryota; Metazoa; Chordata; Mammalia; Carnivora; Otariidae
Description: lncRNA (ENSZCAG00015014259.1)
Source: RNAcentral
GAAUUAGAACAAAAUUGCAAUGACCUGCAUUCUAGAAGAGAACCUAUACGGUAUCUAAUCCAAAAGAAGUUGAAGGUAAGGGAGGUGGUCAGAGCAUCUCCGGAGGCCACCUGCGUGGCUGAACCCGAGCCUAAACGCCUCAGCGCGCCGCCUCACCAGGUCCGCUCUUCGCCCCGCCGGGGCCACUGGCGAGCGCGGACAGGCUCCAGGUGGGGCGCAGUGGGAGGGGAGGGGGCUCGGCACGCAGCAGCUGGGGAGCCGAACGCGAUCCGAGGACAGCCAAGAAGAAGGCGGCAUUCCCUCACACAAAAUGGUGGCGCUGACGAGGAGGCCGGCGCACCUGGGGGCGCGCCACACGCCCCUCGGGGGACCCGGCCGGCCGCCUGCAGCUGGACGCGCGCCCGGGGCCCGGGAGGCCGGCGUGGGCCUGCGCCGCGGCCGAGUCCUCAGGGCGGCCCGCAGUCCGCGGGUCCGAAGCCGGCGGGGCGCGGGGUCGGGCGCGGCGGCCUCGGCCUCAGGCCGGGGCCCCCGCCCCGGACGGGCUGCGCACUCACCUCGGACGCGCCUCCGGAGCCACCGGAGCCCGGGAAAGGAGGCGGAGCCGCGGGAAUGAAUGGAGCCGGCGGCUGCUCGCUGGCGACCCCCGGCCGGUCCCGGGCCGCGCCGCUCGCGGCUGCCAGGGCGGGUGCGGCCGCCCUCCCCUCGCCCGGGACGCCUGGCUCCUCGUCUGCGGGUCGGCCGCAGCCCACCGUGCCCUCCGCCGGCGUGACGCACUCGCGCCGCAGCGCCUCCAGCCUUUGCAGCCGCGCUGCGCCCGCGCCCACCGCGAAUCCCCCCGCCCGCGCCGCGCGGCCCCUCCUCGGCGCCGGGGACGCCGCCCUGCCUCCCUCCGGGCCCGGCCUUCAGGCGACCGCCGGGCAGGUGCGGGCUCGGACAGCCGGGCGGGGGGGGGGGGGGGGCGCCGGGCUGCCCCCGCCUCGCCCCCGGAGCCCGCUCUCCGCCCGGGCCGCCGUCACAAGGCAGAGUGCGAUGCCCCAGCUCAGGGCUAUGGCCCCGUAUUAA